Molecule: unclassified non-coding RNA, 534 nt
Filed under: Wolffia globosa
Lineage: Eukaryota; Viridiplantae; Streptophyta; Magnoliopsida; Alismatales; Araceae
Description: partial external transcribed spacer
Source: RNAcentral
UGAGUGGUGUCGGGCGUAUGGUGUCCGCGGGAUCCCCUGCCCAGUGCAGCCGACCGCGAGCGCCGCGCCUUUUCAAUUUGACUCUCUCGGAGGGCAAGUUGGGACGGUCUGUGCGGAAUAGUCGUUGGGUGGCAAUGUCUUGACCGGAAAGCGAUGUGCGUCGGUUCUCCCCCACCCGCGCUGCGCGGAUGCGGCGGGGAAGCGACCAGUUGCUGCGCUCCGAGCGUCCCACGGGCGGCCUGCGGGCGGCCCGUCGGGGCCUCGGUGCGUCGGCGUGCUAUGCGGGUGCGGUGGAUCGGAUGGCGGCGCCGGGGCGUUUCGCGCCCCGGCGUCUGACGACGCGCGUCCGGCCCUCGAGGCGACGGCGCGGGGCGCUGCGCGGACGCGCUUUGCCCCGCUGUCGCGCGGGCGGCCAGCGCGCGAGAUUCGGGAACGAGCGCCGGCGCUGGGCCAAUCGGCGCAGCUUGCGCCGCGAGGCGCGGGCGGCGUCGCGCGGCCCCGCGCGCGGGCGUCGUGCGGAGGAACGCUACCUGG